Sinocyclocheilus grahami is the source of this 491-nucleotide long non-coding RNA. RefSeq lists it as uncharacterized. Lineage: Eukaryota; Metazoa; Chordata; Actinopteri; Cypriniformes; Cyprinidae. The transcript has 4 exons. The record is from RefSeq and is a predicted model, not a curated record.
AAGUAUGCAAAUAUCAAGGAAUGAAUGUGUCUGUAAUCUACAAUUCACAACAAUAGUGGAGCUUGCCUUUAACUGAAUAAUUAUUUGUCAUAUUUAGGACAAGUGGUUGUGGCAGCUGUCUUCUCUGAACAGCAGUCUGGUGAACACCGUACUGUUUCGGCCUCAGUACACUGAAGAUCUAAGAAAACACUUCACACCCUACAACCCCUAAAAAUAACCCAGAUUUGACAGCAGUGCACACCCAUCUGAGGCUGACCUGUUUUACUUCAUGAUCACCCCACAUACUUCUACAACUAACCCGCUUUUGUGCAUCUUCAAUGAAGAUAUUAACCCCAAAACUCUGACACCCAAGAAACCAUCAAAUAAAUCCGUAUGAAUGGAGCCGUGUAAUCUACUUUUGGGCCAAACUGUUCAAUGAAUGCUAAGGAGUAGUUUCAGUUAGCAGAAGUUAAAAGCAGCUUGUAAGUGUAUUUAUUUCUUGUCUCAGUGUU